This 82-nucleotide transfer RNA is filed under the name Abyssicoccus albus. It matches the Rfam family "tRNA". From Rfam's summary of the family: Transfer RNA (tRNA) molecules are approximately 80 nucleotides in length. Lineage: Bacteria; Bacillati; Bacillota; Bacilli; Caryophanales; Abyssicoccaceae. The record is from Rfam by way of RNAcentral.
GCCACCGUGGCGGAAUUGGCAGACGCGUCGGACUCAAAAUCCGAUUCCUCACGGAGUGUCGGUUCGAUCCCGACCGGUGGUA